RNAcentral lists this ribosomal RNA (483 nucleotides) under uncultured bacterium. Its description in RNAcentral is "partial 16S ribosomal RNA". It matches the Rfam family "Bacterial small subunit ribosomal RNA", at positions 29 to 506 of the family's 1533-position model. The record is from RNAcentral.
AUUGAACGCUGGCGGCAGGCCUAACACAUGCAAGUCGAGCGGAUGAAGCGAGCUUGCUCCUGGAUUCAGCGGCGGACGGGUGAGUAAUGCCUAGGAAUCUGCCUGGUUGUGGGGGAUAACGUCCGGAAACGGGCGCUAAUACCGCAUACGUCCUGAGGGAGAAAGUGGGGGGUCUUCGGACCUCACGCUAUCAGAUGAGCCUGGGUCGGAUUAGCUAGUUGGUGGGGUAUAAGCCUCCCAAGGCGACGAUCCGUAACUGCUCUGAGAGGAGGAUCAGUGACAGUGGAGGUGAGACGCGGCACAGAGUCCUAGGGGAGGCAGCGGUGGGGAAGAGUGGAAGAUGGGCGAAAGCCUGAACCAGGCAUGCCGGGCGUGUGAAGAAAGGCUGCGGGUUGUAAAGCACUUUAAGGUGGGAAGAACGGCAGUAAGUUAAUACCUGGCUGUUUGAAGGUUACCAACAGAAAAGGCACCGGCUAACAUCGG